RNAcentral lists this ribosomal RNA (492 nucleotides) under uncultured bacterium. RNAcentral describes it as "partial 16S ribosomal RNA". It matches the Rfam family "Bacterial small subunit ribosomal RNA", at positions 29 to 507 of the family's 1533-position model. The record is from RNAcentral.
AGUGAACGCUGGCGGUAGGCCUAACACAUGCAAGUCGAACGGCAGCACAGUAAGAGCUUGCUCUUACGGGUGGCGAGUGGCGGACGGGUGAGGAAUACAUCGGAAUCUACUUUUUCGUGGGGGAUAACGUAGGGAAACUUACGCUAAUACCGCAUACGACCUACGGGCGAAAGCAGGGGAUCUUCGGACCUUGCGCGAUUGAAUGAGCCGAUGUCGGAUUGGCUAGUUGGCGGGGUAAAGGCCCACCAAGGCGACGAUCCGUAGCUGGUCUGAGAGGAUGAUCAGCCACACUGGAACUGAGACACGGUCCAGACUCCUACGGGAGGCAGCAGUGGGGAAUAUUGGACAAUGGGCGCAAGCCUGAUCCAGCCAUACCGCGUGGGUGAAGAAGGCCUUCGGGUUGUAAAGCCCUUUUGUUGGGAAAGAAAAGCAGCAGGUUAAUACCCCGCUGUUCUGACGGUACCCAAAGAAUAAGCACCGGCUAACUUCGUG